UGAGGUAUGGUGUAAUUGUCUGGUGGUACGCACUACACUAAACAUCUAACAGAAACAUUCUCACAAAAGUUAUGAGACAAUCUGGACUGCUUAUAAAAGGUGUACUUAGGACUACGCCCAGUAAAGCGUUGUUUCCCAUGCUGAACUGGCUGAUUGUGGACCUUCUCGCUAAACAACUGGCAAUGAACGGUUCCAGAGGUCAUGCUAAGAUUGUAGAUCUUCUAUCAAACCUAUAUCAUGCUAUUGACUACCAUAUUCCGGAACCGUGCAUUUCAAGGAACUUCCAAUAUAGUUUAAUCUGUGAUUAUAAUGAAUUGACACCUGAUAGUGUCGAAAGCUUUAAUGUGUAUACAGUUGGCUCUAAAACAACUAAAGGUGUCGGCGGUGGCAUAUUCAUUGAUGAAUUCGGGACGAAAAUCUCUUUCCGACUCAACGACGAAUGUACUAUUUUACAGGCUGAAAUUUCAGCUAUAAAGAAGGCAUCUAAUUGGCUUAGGUACUAUCGGAUAUCCAAUAGGGAUAUCAGAAUUUAUACUGACAGUCAAUCCGCCAUCAAAUCCCUGAUAGGUGUGUAUUCUACAUCAAAACUUGUCCAAGAAUGCCGGGCGUCUCUAAAUGAGAUGGCGAGACAUUCAAGAAUUAACCUCGUUUGUGUCAAAGGACACGGGGAUAUAACUAGCAAUACUACUGCUGACAUUUUGGCAAAGCCGGCACGAGGAUGACCAUACUGGAUAUAGACCAGACUGUCCGGCCCUGGAAUCGUUCCGUCAUCAGGCGCUGGGUUCGUCUCACUUUUCUGAUCUAUCAAAUGUUCAACCUGAGUGUAUACUAGCAUUCUUGAAAUUGUCAAAAUGGGGUUAUAUUUGGAAUAUGGCUUAUGCCAAUUAUGGACCAAGACCUUUUGAACAAAAUAUUAAUUAAAAAAAAAAUGUUACAUUUUUAUGAGUUUUUCUGAAGACGAAUUAAUUUUAAUGUAAUUUGGUUGGUUGUAAAAAUUAUGUGUAUUGUUAGUAAACUAUCAAGUUCCGAACGGAAACAACAAUGGAGACUUCCAGACGUCUACAUCACCAUAAACAACCUAUAAAUGUUUUCCAAACCAUUUGUGAUCUACUGGUGAAAGCCAUCUGUGACAUCCAUUUAAGUUAUUCUGUAUAACAUAUUUCAUUGUAAAAUUGUUUUGGUUUUCUUCAUUCAAUUUAUUUUCCUCUGCAACUCUUUCAUCUAAAAUUUGUUGAGAAACUACUUCAGCCUUAAGAGAUAUUUCCAAUAUUAUUCUUCCUGCUUUAAUAGGUGUGACGUAAUGAUCAAUAGCACCCUUUCCACCACCCAUUCUUUGGCCUUGACCUUUUUUAGUUAUAGGUUGCCAAGGGGCUGGUAUUCUCCAAAUUGCAAACAUUCUACUGAUAUCCAUUUUGCGACCAAUUGUAAGACGAAUCAUUUCCAAAUGUCCCCAACGAAGGCGACCGCCACCGGUUGCUAUUAUACCAUACUGUUUGUGCAAUAGCGUAUUGUGAACUAACUCUGGACCACGCAUCAACUUUAAUUUUUUUUGCAUUUUCGGAGGACGAAGAUUUGGAGGAUACUGAGGACUUCUAUCCAAUACUUUUAGUUUUGGCCUUUCAACCUGUUCAAACUCUUAAAUAUAGGCGCAGCAAAAUGCUUUAAACCAACAUACUGAGUUUUGAAAAAUCUAUCAUCUGAAACUAUAACCUAAUUAUCGCUUUACAUGAUAAGUAUUAAAUAAUAAUACUUACGUUUGCCGAUGAUAUCCAUAUUUCUUAUAAUACGAAUCAUUUUAAAUAAUUAUAUCCAAAAUAUUGCUUAA
This 1825-nucleotide long non-coding RNA is filed under the name Lucilia cuprina (Australian sheep blowfly). RNAcentral describes it as "uncharacterized LOC124418835". Lineage: Eukaryota; Metazoa; Arthropoda; Insecta; Diptera; Calliphoridae. The record is from RNAcentral.